This is a small nucleolar RNA of Rhinopithecus bieti (black snub-nosed monkey), 128 nucleotides long. Lineage: Eukaryota; Metazoa; Chordata; Mammalia; Primates; Cercopithecidae. The record is from Ensembl.
AAUUGACAGACCUGGAGCAGUUACUACUGCCUGCUGCUAAGGUUUCCACUACACAGGAGAGAAAAUGAUACCUUUUGCUUUCUGUCUGUCUGAUUGUGGCAGCCAAGAUAGGGUGGGGAAACACAGGG